ACCUUAAUAGUUUAAAUAAAACACUGGUCUUGUAAAUCAGAAAUAAGAACUAAUCUUUUAAGGUA
Molecule: transfer RNA, 65 nt
Filed under: Triops sp. EPP1
Lineage: Eukaryota; Metazoa; Arthropoda; Branchiopoda; Notostraca; Triopsidae
Description: tRNA-Thr
Rfam family: tRNA
About the family: Transfer RNA (tRNA) molecules are approximately 80 nucleotides in length. Their secondary structure includes four short double-helical elements and three loops (D, anti-codon, and T loops). Further hydrogen bonds mediate the characteristic L-shaped molecular structure. tRNAs have two regions of fundamental functional importance: the anti-codon, which is responsible for specific mRNA codon recognition, and the 3' end, to which the tRNAs corresponding amino acid is attached (by aminoacyl-tRNA synthetases). tRNAs cope with the degeneracy of the genetic code in two manners: having more than one tRNA (with a specific anti-codon) for a particular amino acid; and 'wobble' base-pairing, i.e. permitting non-standard base-pairing at the 3rd anti-codon position.
Source: RNAcentral